GGUGGUAUAGCACAGUGGUAGAGGGUGUGCUUAGCAUGCAUGAGGUCCUGGGUUCAGUCCCCACUACCUCCA
RNAcentral lists this transfer RNA (72 nucleotides) under Camelus bactrianus (Bactrian camel). It matches the Rfam family "tRNA". Rfam says of the family: Transfer RNA (tRNA) molecules are approximately 80 nucleotides in length. Their secondary structure includes four short double-helical elements and three loops (D, anti-codon, and T loops). Further hydrogen bonds mediate the characteristic L-shaped molecular structure. tRNAs have two regions of fundamental functional importance: the anti-codon, which is responsible for specific mRNA codon recognition, and the 3' end, to which the tRNAs corresponding amino acid is attached (by aminoacyl-tRNA synthetases). tRNAs cope with the degeneracy of the genetic code in two manners: having more than one tRNA (with a specific anti-codon) for a particular amino acid; and 'wobble' base-pairing, i.e. permitting non-standard base-pairing at the 3rd anti-codon position. The record is from Rfam by way of RNAcentral. Lineage: Eukaryota; Metazoa; Chordata; Mammalia; Artiodactyla; Camelidae. RNAcentral also lists the same sequence under 2 other names.